GAUGAACGCUGGCGGCGUGCCUAAUACAUGCAAGUCGAGCGAACGGACGAGAAGCUUGCUUCUCUGAUGUUAGCGGCGGACGGGUGAGUAACACGUGGAUAACCUACCUAUAAGACUGGGAUAACUUCGGGAAACCGGAGCUAAUACCGGAUAAUAUUUUGAACCGCAUGGUUCAAAAGUGAAAGACGGUCUUGCUGUCACUUAUAGAUGGAUCCGCGCUGCAUUAGCUAGUUGGUAAGGUAACGGCUUACCAAGGCAACGAUGCAUAGCCGACCUGAGAGGGUGAUCGGCCACACUGGAACUGAGACACGGUCCAGACUCCUACGGGAGGCAGCAGUAGGGAAUCUUCCGCAAUGGGCGAAAGCCCGACGGAGCAACGCCGCGUGAGUGAUGAAGGUCUUCGGAUCGUAAAACUCUGUUAUUAGGGAAGAACAUAUGUGUAAGUAACUGUGCACAUCUUGACGGUACCUAAUCAGAAAGCCACGGCUAACUACGUGCCAGCAGCCGCGGUAAUACGUAGGUGGCAAGCGUUAUCCGGAAUUAUUGGGCGUAAAGCGCGCGUAGGCGGUUUUUUAAGUCUGAUGUGAAAGCCCACGGCUCAACCGUGGAGGGUCAUUGGAAACUGGAAAACUUGAGUGCAGAAGAGGAAAGUGGAAUUCCAUGUGUAGCGGUGAAAUGCGCAGAGAUAUGGAGGAACACCAGUGGCGAAGGCGACUUUCUGGUCUGUAACUGACGCUGAUGUGCGAAAGCGUGGGGAUCAAACAGGAUUAGAUACCCUGGUAGUCCACGCCGUAAACGAUGAGUGCUAAGUGUUAGGGGGUUUCCGCCCCUUAGUGCUGCAGCUAACGCAUUAAGCACUCCGCCUGGGGAGUACGACCGCAAGGUUGAAACUCAAAGGAAUUGACGGGGACCCGCACAAGCGGUGGAGCAUGUGGUUUAAUUCGAAGCAACGCGAAGAACCUUACCAAAUCUUGACAUCCUUUGACAACUCUAGAGAUAGAGCCUUCCCCUUCGGGGGACAAAGUGACAGGUGGUGCAUGGUUGUCGUCAGCUCGUGUCGUGAGAUGUUGGGUUAAGUCCCGCAACGAGCGCAACCCUUAAGCUUAGUUGCCAUCAUUAAGUUGGGCACUCUAAGUUGACUGCCGGUGACAAACCGGAGGAAGGUGGGGAUGACGUCAAAUCAUCAUGCCCCUUAUGAUUUGGGCUACACAUGUGCUACAAUGGACAAUACAAAGGGCAGCGAAACCGCGAGGUCAAGCAAAUCCCAUAAAGUUGUUCUCAGUUCGGAUUGUAGUCUGCAACUCGACUACAUGAAGCUGGAAUCGCUAGUAAUCGUAGAUCAGCAUGCUACGGUGAAUACGUUCCCGGGUCU
RNAcentral lists this ribosomal RNA (1372 nucleotides) under uncultured bacterium. Its description in RNAcentral is "bacterial SSU rRNA". It matches the Rfam family "Bacterial small subunit ribosomal RNA", at positions 28 to 1381 of the family's 1533-position model. The record is from RNAcentral.